Molecule: ribosomal RNA, 207 nt
Filed under: Glomeraceae sp.
Lineage: Eukaryota; Fungi; Glomeromycota; Glomeromycetes; Glomerales; Glomeraceae
Description: partial small subunit ribosomal RNA
Rfam family: Eukaryotic small subunit ribosomal RNA
Source: RNAcentral
GGUGCCAGCAGCCGCGGUAAUUCCAGCUCCAAUAGCGUAUAUUAAAGUUGUUGCAGUUAAAAAGCUCGUAGUUGAAUUUCGAGGUCAAUAUGUUGGUCGUGCCUCGGUACGUACUUGCAUCAUUGAUUUCUACCUUCUGAUGAACCAUGAUGCCAUUAGUUUGGUGUUGUGGGGAAUCAGGACUGUUACUUUGAAAAAAUUAGAGUG